Molecule: transfer RNA, 87 nt
Filed under: Steroidobacter flavus
Lineage: Bacteria; Pseudomonadati; Pseudomonadota; Gammaproteobacteria; Steroidobacterales; Steroidobacteraceae
Also listed under: 2 other names
Description: tRNA-Leu
Rfam family: tRNA
About the family: Transfer RNA (tRNA) molecules are approximately 80 nucleotides in length. Their secondary structure includes four short double-helical elements and three loops (D, anti-codon, and T loops). Further hydrogen bonds mediate the characteristic L-shaped molecular structure. tRNAs have two regions of fundamental functional importance: the anti-codon, which is responsible for specific mRNA codon recognition, and the 3' end, to which the tRNAs corresponding amino acid is attached (by aminoacyl-tRNA synthetases). tRNAs cope with the degeneracy of the genetic code in two manners: having more than one tRNA (with a specific anti-codon) for a particular amino acid; and 'wobble' base-pairing, i.e. permitting non-standard base-pairing at the 3rd anti-codon position.
Source: RNAcentral
GCCGGUGUGGCGGAACUGGUAGACGCAGCGGACUCAAAAUCCGCCGCCCUUAAAAGCGUGUGGGUUCGAUUCCCUCCACCGGCACCA